Lolium perenne is the source of this 469-nucleotide long non-coding RNA. RefSeq lists it as uncharacterized. Lineage: Eukaryota; Viridiplantae; Streptophyta; Magnoliopsida; Poales; Poaceae. The record is from RefSeq and is a predicted model, not a curated record.
UUUAUUUGUUCAUGUUCAGUUUGGCGCAGUGGUGACACUUUCCAUCGGACCAUCAAUAACUUCUACAACAUAAUUCCUCUUACCAGGAUUGCCAACUCCAGGGGGUUGCGGGGAAGCUAUCAUAGACAUGCUAUCUAUAGAACUGGAUUGUUGCUACAAUACCUUGCAAGUAGCUGCAGUCUCUCACUUAUACAGUUUAAUCUCAGGGCUUGAAGUACACUGAUGGUAGGAUCUGGUAUUGAGGUGGUGCACGCGAGUGCCAUGGAUUUGUGAUUGUGCCUUGCCACUUAGGAACCGGCAGUGUCUAUUUGCUAAUUAGGAGUGAUGUUUUUUUCUUGAUUUUGUGAUGAACUAGGAAGAUGAAUGCUAUACCGUGGACUCAAUGAGCCAUGGAAUUUGUGUGUUACUUCAAAUUAGUCAUCAGCAUUCACGUUUAUGAGUAUAUGACAUGUGAGUGCCUUUGAUUUCA